Molecule: ribosomal RNA, 61 nt
Filed under: uncultured bacterium
Lineage: Bacteria
Description: partial 16S ribosomal RNA
Source: RNAcentral
AGCUAGACCCGGCAAGGGACUACGCAGGCGGCCUACCGGACGUAGAUCGAUGAUUGGGGUG